GAUCCUGGCUCAGGAUGAACGCUAGCGGCAGGCUUAACACAUGCAAGUCGAGGGGCAGCGCGGGGCGGCAACGUCCUGGCGGCGACCGGCGGAAGGGUGCGUAACGCGUGAGCGACAUGCCCGUUGCCCGGGGACAACCGGUGGAAACGCCGACUAAUCCCCGAUGGGACGGAGGCCCUCAUGGGUCUCUGUUGAAAGUUACGGCGGCGACGGAUUGGCUCGCGUCCGAUUAGCUUGUUGCGGGUAACGCCCACAGG
RNAcentral lists this ribosomal RNA (257 nucleotides) under uncultured bacterium. Its description in RNAcentral is "partial 16S ribosomal RNA". It matches the Rfam family "Bacterial small subunit ribosomal RNA", at positions 15 to 272 of the family's 1533-position model. The record is from RNAcentral.